AGAGUUUGAUCCUGGCUCAGAACGAACGCUGGCGGCAGGCCUAACACAUGCAAGUCGAGCGAACCUUCGGGUUAGCGGCGGACGGGUGAGUAACGCGUGGGAAUGUGCCCUUCUCUACGGAAUAGUCCCGGGAAACUGGGUUUAAUACCGUAUACGCCCUUCGGGGGAAAGAUUUAUCGGAGAAGGAUCAGCCCGCGUUGGAUUAGGUAGUUGGUGGGGUAAUGGCCUACCAAGCCGACGAUCCAUAGCUGGUUUGAGAGGAUGAUCAGCCACACUGGGACUGAGACACGGCCCAGACUCCUACGGGAGGCAGCAGUGGGGAAUCUUAGACAAUGGGGGAAACCCUGAUCUAGCCAUGCCGCGUGAGUGACGAAGGCCCUAGGGUCGUAAAGCCCUUUCGCCAGGGAUGAUAAUGACAGUACCUGGUAAAGAAACCCCGGCUAACUCCGUGCCAGCAGCCGCGGUAAUACGGAGGGGGUUAGCGUUGUUCGGAAUUACUGGGCGUAAAGCGCACGUAGGCGGACUAUUAAGUCAGGGGUGAAAUCCCGGGGCUCAACCCCGGAACUGCCUUUGAUACUGGUAGUCUUGA
Molecule: ribosomal RNA, 589 nt
Filed under: uncultured bacterium
Lineage: Bacteria
Description: bacterial SSU rRNA
Rfam family: Bacterial small subunit ribosomal RNA
Source: RNAcentral